CAGCAGCCGCGGUAAUACGUAGGUGGCAAGCGUUGCCCGGAAUGACUGGGCGUAAAGGGCGCGCAGGCGGAAUGCUAUGUCGGGUGUGAAAUUCCAGGGCUUAACCUGGGGGCUGCGUUCGAGACGGGUAUUCUAGAGUGGAGAAGAGGGUAGUGGAAUUCCAAGUGUAGAGGUGAAAUUCGUAGAGAUUGGGAAGAACACCAGUGGCGAAGGCGGCUAUCUGGUCUUUUACUGACGCUGAGGCGCGAAAGCGUGGGGAGCAAACAGGAUUAGAUACCCCUGUAGUCCCUGUCUCUUAUAC
Molecule: ribosomal RNA, 301 nt
Filed under: uncultured bacterium
Lineage: Bacteria
Description: partial 16S ribosomal RNA
Rfam family: Bacterial small subunit ribosomal RNA
Source: RNAcentral